This 260-nucleotide unclassified non-coding RNA is filed under the name Mycolicibacterium senegalense. RNAcentral describes it as "partial contains 16S ribosomal RNA and 16S-23S ribosomal RNA intergenic spacer". The stretch from base 1 to 63 matches the Rfam family "Bacterial small subunit ribosomal RNA", at positions 1471 to 1533 of the family's 1533-position model. The record is from RNAcentral. Lineage: Bacteria; Bacillati; Actinomycetota; Actinomycetes; Mycobacteriales; Mycobacteriaceae.
UUGGAUCCGACGAAGUCGUAACAAGGUAGCCGUACCGGAAGGUGCGGCUGGAUCACCUCCUUUCUAAGGAGCACCACGAAAAGGGUUGAGACACUGGGUCUUACCCGAGCCGUGAGGAGUCUGUGCGCUGUAGUGGCGCCGGCUUGGUGCACAACAAACUUCUUUGACUGCCAGACACACUAUUGGGCUUUGAGACAACAGGCCCGUGCCCCUUUUCGGGGGGUGGCAUCCGGUUGCGGGUGUCGGCGUGUUGUUGCUCC